This 460-nucleotide ribosomal RNA is filed under the name uncultured bacterium. Its description in RNAcentral is "bacterial SSU rRNA". It matches the Rfam family "Bacterial small subunit ribosomal RNA", at positions 43 to 524 of the family's 1533-position model. The record is from RNAcentral.
CAGGCCUAACACAUGCAAGUCGAACGCAUCCUUCGGGGUGAGUGGCAGACGGGUGAGUAACACGUGGGAACGUACCCUUUGGUUCGGAAUAACGCAGGGAAACUUGCGCUAAUACCGGAUACGCCCUUUUGGGGAAAGGCUUGCUGCCGAAGGAUCGGCCCGCGUCCGAUUAGCUUGUUGGUGAGGUAAUGGCUCACCAAGGCUUCGAUCGGUAGCUGGUCUGAGAGGAUGACCAGCCACAUUGGGACUGAGACACGGCCCAAACUCCUACGGGAGGCAGCAGUGGGGAAUAUUGGACAAUGGGCGCAAGCCUGAUCCAGCCAUGCCGCGUGAGUGAUGACGGCCUUAGGGUUGUAAAGCACUUUAGUUGGGGAAGAAAGGUAUAAGGGGAAUAUCCUUAUGCUGUGACGUUACCCAAAGAAUAAGCACCGGCUAACUCUGUGCCAGCAGCCGCGGUAAU